CCGAGUGUGUGUCAGGAGAUGGGGUUGGAGCAAGUUGCACUGAUAAACUGAUGUAGUAGUCAUCCAAUAUUUUACAAGUGUUAUGAGCAAAGGAAAAUAUAGGAGCAAACAAAGAGAUAUGGGAAGAGAAACUCAAGACUGCCAAGAUUACCAGAUUUAGGAAGCAUAGUUAGAUCCAAGUUAAGGAGUGGGAUAUGGAACAAUGGAAAUGACACUGUUAAUGAGGGUUUACUAUUUAAAGCAGAAAAGGAAUACAGAAUCAAAAUCUGUCUCUUAUUUUGUGAAGGCUGUCUGCAAUUCUUUCAAGACAGGUUCUCUUUACUGAACUGGUUAGAAUUCAAAGGGAUUUUCCUCCCUUCAUUGUGUAUGAAAUCUUAUCCAUCUGCUUGAAGAAAUAACAAAAUAAAGAUUAAAAAAAGUGUUUGUGGCAACUUGAUCAGGGAAAACAAUCAAUAGAAAAGAAGCUGACGUAUCACUGUGUCUGUGUUGAAUGUUAUCAGAAUAGUUUGUAUCCUCAGCUUGGUUUUCAUACAUCUUCCAACAGAGUCUUUUUACAGAGUUUAGAGAGAGCACCAAACAAAACAGACGGGGAAAAGAGAAUAGUAAAAGGGAAAACUAGGUAAAUAUUUGAGAUAAGUCCAGACACUCCUGUUGUUUGUUCUGUUCACAAUAUUGUGAUGAAUUGUUAAUGAGAGGUAUAUGAGCGAUUCAGGUUUCUUCUGAGUUUCAUCCUUUACUGUAUGAGUAGUUGCUUUUGAUUUUCAUUCUGCAGAAUUUCUCAUUGUAAAAGGAGGAACAUAUGAGAAAUGUUUUAAAAGAAAUUCUGCAGAAUGGUGGUGAGUUACACAGUGAGCUAUCCAUGGUGCACUGCUUUCUCUGUCAAUGGAAGAGCACUAAUUGUGGACGUGCUCUGCUAUCACAAGGAGUCUUGUGUGAACGUGCAAAAGCAGUUUAAUUAUAGCAGAGAAUGACCAAUGUAACUUAAAUCAUCUUAUCUUUCCAGUGUAGACACAGUGUAAAUUCUGUUUCCUGAAUGACUGACUGUUCUCAGGAAUACAUUUCCCCUCCUGAUGAUAAAAGGAGGAGAACACAGCUAUUAAAGUGCUACAAAGCAGGAAGACAAGAUUAAUGCAAUCCCUGGAAGGUAUUAGAACUUUAAAGGUCUUUUUGGAACAACGUGUGUGAAGUGGAUUUCCUAGGAAGUGCCUUGGGAUUUGAGUAUUUGUCUGUCUGUGCAUGAGCCUGUUCAUUCAAGAACUCCUAAAUGUGGGAAGCUGAACUGAAAGGCCCUAGCCAUCUGCUACCUAUUGGCAGAGGGACAGUGAUGGUGUCAGAAUGGGGUGAAGAGUCCAACAGCCUAACACUGACUCUUGGUUCUGUUACCUCCAGGAGGAGAAGUGUGAUGCAACAGAAAUAAAGAAAAGACUAGCAGUUUGCAAACAAAGUUUCAGGCACAGGUGGAGUGCACAAUUGCAAGGUCCAGGACCUUUCACUCUCUGUCUAAUUGAAAGUCUUCGAG
This is a non-coding RNA of Pelodiscus sinensis (Chinese soft-shelled turtle), 1519 nucleotides long. Lineage: Eukaryota; Metazoa; Chordata; Testudines; Trionychidae. The record is from RefSeq and is a predicted model, not a curated record.